GAGGGGGUGUGGGUGGCUGCAGAUUCCUGAUGGAAUUUGAGGAAAGUCCGGGCUCCCGAAAGACCAAACUUGCUGGGUAACGCCCAGUGCGGGUGACCGUGAGGAUAGUGCCACAGAAACAUACCGCCGAUGGAGCCAUUGGCUCACAGGUAAGGGUGCAAGGGUGCGGUAAGAGCGCACCAGCAACGUCGAGAGGCGUUGGCUCGGUAAACCCCGGUUGGGAGCAAGGUCGAAGGAGCGAUGGUUGGUCUUUUCCCGGCUCCGAGGUGCGGAGCAAUCCGUACCUGCCAAUCCGCUUGAGGUGUCUGGCAACAGGCGUCCCAGAUAGAUAGCUGCCCCUGGAUGCUGCGGCAUUCAGGAACAGAACCCGGCUUACGGCUCCCUCUUCUCU
RNAcentral lists this RNase P RNA (391 nucleotides) under Vacuolonema iberomarrocanum LEGE 07170. RNAcentral's name for it is "RNase P RNA component class A". It matches the Rfam family "Bacterial RNase P class A". Rfam says of the family: Ribonuclease P (RNase P) is a ubiquitous endoribonuclease, found in archaea, bacteria and eukarya as well as chloroplasts and mitochondria. Lineage: Bacteria; Bacillati; Cyanobacteriota; Cyanophyceae; Oculatellales; Oculatellaceae. The record is from RNAcentral.